Molecule: long non-coding RNA, 1882 nt
Organism: Ictalurus punctatus (channel catfish)
Lineage: Eukaryota; Metazoa; Chordata; Actinopteri; Siluriformes; Ictaluridae
Source: Ensembl
CUUGUUCUGGUAAACUACGUGAUAGAUUCCUCACUAUUUGGCCGAGGUUAUUUUUACCCGUAAGUCCUGGCAACGCUGCCUGUGUGGGGCGGAGCUGUUACUUGGCAGCAUUUUCCCUUGAAACAAGGCUGUGAUUUGCUUCUGUUUGGUUUUCUCAGACACAUUAAGGAGUGAGAGGCAUUAUUUUAGACAAAUGAUCCAAAGUCAUCACAGUGAUACAAUAACUGAGAGAUUUGCUGAGCGAAACACAUGAACAUAUGGAUUGAUUAAAAUAUAGGAAAGGAAACAGACCUGGAAGCGGUGAAAGGGCUCUUUUUUGAUCCUUUAAUAAUGUGCAGUCUUUAUAUAACCUCAGGAUCUAUGAGAGACGGCAGGUGUUAGUCAUUUUCUUUGUGACGGUGCACCUUAGUCAUCCUAAAUAACACACAUCUGAGUGCAAUUUAAUAAACAUGUGGACUGCUGAACUGCUCGUUUUUACAUCUUCUCUCAAGAACACCACCAAUUUCCCUGUAUUUUGGAGAGACGAGGGUCGUGGGGAACCUGGACGGGGUGCCAAUCCAUCGCAGGGCACAAUCACAUACACAUUCACACACCCAUUCAUACAUUAUGCAUGCCUUUGGACUGGAGGAGGAAACCGGAGUACCUGGAGGAAACCUCCGCAGCACGGGGAGAACACGCAAACUCCACACACACAGGGCAGCGGCGGGAAUCAAACCCUCAACUCUGGAGGGUAUAUAAACAUUGUGGACAUUGUGAAUGCAGUGUCUGAGGGAGCUAAGCUGCUGUCUCGCUGUUUGGCUCAUAAAUAAAGAAGUUCAACAAGCUCUGUUGUACGCUGAAGUUUGUAUCCACGCUCUCUCCUGGAGAGAAAAUCACGCUUCUGCUCCCCACUUCAGCAAACUUUAAGGGCUACACAUUUACUCCUGUUGGAACAUCAUGACAACUGACUUUACAAAACUGCACUUCUGCAAAUCUGCAUUUAUGCUUUAUGGUGUUUUUUUAAGAAUAGUUACAGCCGACUUAAGUCUAAAAGUACUGUAGAUUCACACAGGGAAAGUUAUGCGUAUUCAGAGUUGAGUUAAACAGCUGCUUUUCCUGUUGCACCAAUUCAAUUCAAUUCAGUGUUAUUUGUAUAGCGCUUUUAAUGACGGACAUUGUCUCAAAGCAGCUUUACAGAAACAUAUAAACACAGGAUAGAGAUUUUAAGUGGGUGAAUUUAUCCCUAUUGGGCGAGCCGGUGGUGACGGUGGUGAGGGAAAAACUCCCUGAGAUGAUAUGAGGAAGAAACCUUGAGAGGAACCAGACUCAGAAGGGAACCCGUCCUCAUCUGGGUAACCACUGAGGGUAUGCAAUUUACGUAAGUGUAGUUCACAGCUCCAAGGUUACUGUAGGUAUGCUGCUCAUUGCUCAAAAAGAUUAUUUUUCUCCUCAGAUUUCCCUUUAACUCGCCUCAGCCUACCUUCUCCCUACUGCAUUCCAGCAUGUGUUUGUGUUCAGACAGGAAAAGGGUCACUGUUACAGAGAAAGUAGCCAACAAGUCUUUUAAGGACUUCGGUUUGCUUGGAACGCUCUCUGACCAAGUCAUUCUUGGCAUAGAGUUGGUUUACCAAACCAGGGAAAUGCCGUGCCGGGUGUGACAUCACAACAAAAAUAUCGCGACCGCUGUGUCUUGAGGAUGAAGUUUUUGAUGAAUCUCUAAUGUGAGCAUUCCAGCAGUUUGAAGCGAAGUGUCUAGUUCACAUAUCAAAAAAGAAAUAGAAUUCUGUCAUUUUUCACAUUUUUUAUUUGGCACUGUAUUAAAUUACUCUUGAAUAACAGAGCAAAGAAUUUCUGCUGUACUUUAUUAAAUGCUAUAUAUGGUGAAAUGUAAUGCAAUUAAUCA